UGUCAUAUCAGGAAAUAUAAAUAAUUUCUGGGCAAUAUUUAGAAGGACUGCAAGCUGUUUUUAGGAUUGGCUAAAACUUAUUUACAAUACCCUGUUCAC
RNAcentral lists this microRNA precursor (99 nucleotides) under Marmota monax (woodchuck). It matches the Rfam family "mir-384 microRNA precursor family". Lineage: Eukaryota; Metazoa; Chordata; Mammalia; Rodentia; Sciuridae. The record is from RNAcentral.